AGACGUCUACAUUAGAUACCCCCGUAGUCCCAGCCGUAAACUAUGCGCGUUAGGUGUAUCGGUGACCACGAGUCACCGAGGUGCCGAAGGGAAACCGUGAAACGUGCCGCCUGGGAAGUACGGUCGCAAGGCUGAAACUUAGAGGAAUUGGCGGGGGAGCACCACAACGGGUGGAGCCUGCGGUUUAAUUGGACUCAACGCCGGACAACUCACCGGGGACGACAGCAAUAUGUAGGCCAGGCUGAAGACCUUGCCUGAAUCGCUG
Molecule: ribosomal RNA, 265 nt
Filed under: uncultured archaeon
Lineage: Archaea
Description: partial 16S ribosomal RNA
Rfam family: Archaeal small subunit ribosomal RNA
Source: RNAcentral